This is a long non-coding RNA of Rattus rattus (black rat), 616 nucleotides long. RefSeq lists it as uncharacterized. The record is from RefSeq and is a predicted model, not a curated record. The transcript is spliced from 2 exons. Lineage: Eukaryota; Metazoa; Chordata; Mammalia; Rodentia; Muridae.
GAGAUCCACUGGCCUCUGCUUCCCCAGCGCUGGGAUUAAAGGUGUGCGCCAGCAUGCCCGGCUUUAUAAUCCCUUCCUAAAAUGUCAGUGUCAGCCAGUUCUGUACACUCACUAUUUCCGUGGGAGCAACUGUCUCCUGCAACUCAGAAAACAGAGUCCCACCUCCUUGUCUGCGGUCUAUGUUCUCCAUCUGUUUGUCCCUUUCCCCGAUUCUCUCUUUGGCCGUGUCAGGGCAUCUGCACUCAGCUCCUCUGAGACAGAGCGUUUGAGGUUGUAGCCCCAUGUGAGGGGCUGGAAGGGCGGGCACAGGAAACUGCUUGCUGUGUGACAGGAAAUGUGAAGCUCGCUGGCCGCUGGCCGGCACCCACAUGACAAGCCAGGAGUGGCCUGCGCGUGCCUGGACUGAGCUAGGCGGGGACAGGAAUGUCACUCAGGCUUAGUGGCUACAAGCCUAGGUGAAAAACAGGAGUCCCACAGUCAGCAAGAGACAUUGCCUCAAAAGAGGACUAGACAGGGUGACUGAGGGAGAGACCCGGUGCUGCUGCCUGGCCUCCAUGUGUGUGGGUGGGCAUGCACACACACCAAAAACAAGGUUAACAAAAGAAUUCCAAAGUCA